RNAcentral lists this long non-coding RNA (284 nucleotides) under Panax ginseng (ginseng). Its description in RNAcentral is "long non-coding RNA (PGIN_LNC015748)". The record is from RNAcentral. Lineage: Eukaryota; Viridiplantae; Streptophyta; Magnoliopsida; Apiales; Araliaceae.
UAAAAUACAAAUGAUUUUGAAUUUUUCGCUCGUUCAAUAAAUCUGGGCCAUUCAAAGUUUGAGAUAAAUUUCACCGUCUAUACAGUGCCGAAGGCACGGGACCCAGCUAGUAUAUAUAUAUGGGAAGUUUGGAUUGAAGGAAUGAAAUAGAGUAGGGAAUGGAAUAGAUGAGGGAAUGAAAUAAAGAAGGGAAUGGAAUAAUUUUUUAAUAUUCCAUGUACAUGUUUGGUUGAUGUUAUGAAUACAUCUAAGAAUGAAAUAAAUAAUUAGAAAGUGAUCUAAAU